AGAGUUUGAGGUCACCCGAGGCUACAUGAGAGCCUGUCUCCAAACAGAAGGUGAAAGUCUGGAAAGCUCCCCACGGCAGAGCCACUGUGGUAACCAGUUACCCGAACCCCUCCCUUCUCCACCAGGCAAGCGCUUUGCCAGCACAGGCAAACCGCCUGCCUCUCACCUGCCGCUUUCUCUAACUCAGGGUUUUUCUUUCUUUUUGUGCCGUAGGUUCCUAAUGGCGGUGCACAAGGCCAGAGUCCCCCCCGGAGCCUCCCAGGAGCCACCGUCGUCCAGCCCGAUUGUCCCCACAGGCCUCCAGCGACACUCAGGCUGGCUGGGCAUCCUCAAACCCACCUGCGAGUUGGGUCCCCACCUCCCCCUCUCCUUCACAGCAUGCUCCCGUGGCUCCGCCAUUCCCUCUGCCUACUGUAUGGCACGGGUGUUUCUCUUCCAAAGCCUCCCACGGGGGCUGUGUGCUUCACUCUGCUCCCUUCCCACACAGGCCACCAAGGCAGCUGGACUUGUGCCCUGUGUCCCCGCUCCUUCUGGGCUCCCAGUCCACCUGCUCACCACCCAGCCACUCCUUGCACAUCUCACACUGUGCCUUUGUCAACCGUCACCGCUGGUUUCCUGGUGACUAACAGAAUCCUGACAAGGGGGGGCCGGCGGUGCAUCAGGUGGACUGAGCGCCCACCUGUCAUCUAUGUGUCUCUCGGGACUCAUUGUCAAAUGCGUCCUUCUCUCCAGAGGCUGCUGCCUCGGGUCCUCCCCACCAUCCAGCACUGUUACCUUCCAUUGCGUCCUUCUCUCCAGAGGCUGCUGCCUCGGGUCCUCCCCACCAUCCAGCACUGUACUUCAGUACUCCAUCCUAGGGGAUCGAUGGUAGGACUGGGGCGCCCAACCCACAUCCACUCCCACUCUGGUUCUAAAUCAUCUACCUGGCCCAAGGAGGUCCGUAUCGAAGUCCCAAAUCCAACUUGUGGGCCAACCCUGCUGUCUUGCCUGGGUCUACCUUCUGUGAGCCUUGUCUGCCUGUUCCCGGUACCCUGUGAUGGAGGGCCUCACACCCGCUCUAGCUCAUUACUGUAAGGCGGGCCUGCCGAGUCCCGUAGGUAGCAUUUGAGGACUCUCCUAUGUUCCCACCAAAGACCUUGUGCCUCCUGUGGUCCCUCUGAUGGCUCUGAACACUGCUUCUGCAUUGGAUCCUAUUCUCCAGAAGCCCCGGAGAAUGGAUGGAGCUUGCUUUUGAAACUGUUUCCCUCCUAGAAUGGUGGAGCUUUUGGGGGAGAACCGAGGUGGUCCUUCGAACCUUAGAGCCGCGCUUUCUCUCCUUUCCCAGUACAAAAGCACUCAAGGCUUGGCCACAAGCCCCCGUGAAGGGCACCCCACAAGCUUGAACUUGAGGAGAUUGGCAUCUUCCUCCAGGCAGUUGGUAGCUUAGCUAACAUCGUCAGAGGAUCAAAGACAUGGGAGUCUUACAAAACCAGAAAUAGGGACAAAGAGGCAGGUUCUCAGGGUCGGGCCUGUGCUUUGUGGAAAUGCAGACAUUCUCCUCUUGUGGCACUGGUGUACCACCCUGCAGAACAGCACUGUCAACCUCACAGCAGAGGAGAGGGAGAGUACCACAGUGGGGAGCAGCCGACAAGGGCCUGACUUUGGGUUUCAAGAGCAAGCAAGGAUUAGUUUUGAGGCAUUCUUCACCCUGCCUUCUCCCAAGGAAGGCCUAGCCCCGGGUCCAACACACUGCCCUCUGGGGCCCCUGUGAGGCUGUUCAGGACUCACAUGAGGAAGACCUAGGGACGGUAUGGAAGCCUGGUGCCUAAGAGUGAAGAUUGUCUCAGCUCUGACACAGUUACUCCACCAGGUUACUGGCCAUCUAUCUCCAGAACCUGUGAUUUUUCACCAAGUUGGGCCGACCACUGUCCCCUCCAUGAGGAGCCAGAGUGGUUUUUACUGGUCUGUUCACAGAUCUCAUUAGUGCAUGAAGGACGGAGAAAGGCUCUUGCCACAAAGGUAACAUGGAGAAGCUGCCAAUCUUCCUCGAAUGACUGUUUAAGCCUGUGCCUGUCUCCCCGCAUCCCCUCACUUCUUUUUUAACUUCCUGUACCACCUACAUCCAGAAAGGAUGGAGGUGAGCGUCUUCAGGCCGUUCCCUGAGCGAGAUGGUCUGCCGUGGAAACCCUGUGGAAUUGUACCGGCUGUGGGGGGAAGGGAAUGCAGGAUUUCCCUAGAAGCGCUACACUCCCUGUCCCCAGGACCCACUGCCUGUCACUCCUAGCUGCUAGUGUGCUGAUACAAGAAUGACUCACUGUAAAAGAACCUGCCCUGCAAAUGACUUAGAGACGAGAAAUAAAAGGAACUUGACAUUUACUGCUUUUUUUUUCCUAUGCAGGAUGUGAAGCCGCAGUGGCUCCUCCCUCUGGGCUGAGCGUACUCAGCCAGUGGGAGCAGCCCAAGUAACACACGGGGAGGCCGCUAAAGCCUUCUGGUGACACCUGUAGUUAUAGUAGAAUGUCCACACGAAGUUUAAAAAACAAAAGUUCCGUUCCUGCCGGUAUUUUUCCAGAAACUGCAGUUUUGUGAUUUUUUUUUUUUUAAUUUUUGUGUCUGUACAUAUAACAUAUGGAGUGUCUCUAAUAAUGGCCCCGACUUCUCUUUUAGCCUGACAUCAAGCACCUUUUAAGUCAUGCCUGUGCGUGUGUGCGUGCGUGUGUGUGUGUGUGUGUGUGUGUGUGUGUGUGUGAGAGAGAGAGAGAGAGAGAGAGCUCGAGCUAGUUCUAAGCCUUGAGGGCGUGGCACUGUUGGAAAGGCCCUCACAGCUGUCAGGUCUUGGACUUGCCUGUGUCUCUGGAGGUGGAAUUAAGACCAAACAAAGAGCUUUCGGUAGAAAAGCUCUCUUACCCUGGUAAUUAAAUGUUAGUCCUUUCGAUGUUAAAUAAAGUAUAACUUCUAGUGUA
This 2942-nucleotide long non-coding RNA is filed under the name Rattus norvegicus (Norway rat). RNAcentral's name for it is "long non-coding RNA NONRATT019151". The record is from RNAcentral. Lineage: Eukaryota; Metazoa; Chordata; Mammalia; Rodentia; Muridae.